Molecule: ribosomal RNA, 253 nt
Filed under: uncultured bacterium
Lineage: Bacteria
Description: partial 16S ribosomal RNA
Rfam family: Bacterial small subunit ribosomal RNA
Source: RNAcentral
UACGUAGGUGGCAAGCGUUGUCCGGAUUUACUGUGCGUAAAGCGCGCUCAGGCGGUCGUUCAUGUCGCGUGUGAAAGCCCCCGGCUCAACUGGGGAGGGUCACGCGAUACUGAUCGACUCGAAGGCAGGAGAGGGUAGUGGAAUUCCCGGUGUAGUGGUGAAAUGCGUAGAUAUCGGGAGGAACACCAGUGGCGAAGGCGACUACCUGGCCUGUGCUUGACGCUGAGGCGCGAAAGCGAGGGGAGCAAACGGG